UUAAAUUGAAGAGUUUGAUCAUGGCUCAGAUUGAACGCUGGCGGCAGGCCUAACACAUGCAAGUCGAACGGUAGCACAGAGAGCUUGCUCUCGGGUGACGAGUGGCGGACGGGUGAGUAAUGUCUGGGAAACUGCCUGAUGGAGGGGGAUAACUACUGGAAACGGUGGCUAAUACCGCAUAACGUCGCAAGACCAAAGAGGGGGACCUUCGGGCCUCUUGCCAUCAGAUGUGCCCAGAUGGGAUUAGCUUGUUGGUGAGGUAACGGCUUACCAAGGCGACGAUCCCUAGCUGGUCUGAGAGGAUGACCAGCCACACUGGAACUGAGACACGGUCCAGACUCCUACGGGAGGCAGCAGUGGGGAAUAUUGCACAAUGGGCGCAAGCCUGAUGCAGCCAUGCCGCGUGUAUGAAGAAGGCCUUCGGGUUGUAAAGUACUUUCAGCGGGGAGGAAGGUGUUGUGGUUAAUAACCACAGCAAUUGACGUUACCCGCAGAAGAAGCACCGGCUAACUCCGUGCCAGCAGCCGCGGUAAUACGGAGGGUGCAAGCGUUAAUCGGAAUUACUGGGCGUAAAGCGCACGCAGGCGGUCUGUCAAGUCGGAUGUGAAAUCCCCGGGCUCAACCUGGGAACUGCAUUCGAAACUGGCAGGCUUGAGUCUUGUAGAGGGGGGUAGAAUUCCAGGUGUAGCGGUGAAAUGCGUAGAGAUCUGGAGGAAUACCGGUGGCGAAGGCGGCCCCCUGGACAAAGACUGACGCUCAGGUGCGA
RNAcentral lists this ribosomal RNA (766 nucleotides) under Salmonella enterica subsp. enterica serovar Livingstone. RNAcentral describes it as "bacterial SSU rRNA". It matches the Rfam family "Bacterial small subunit ribosomal RNA", at positions 1 to 756 of the family's 1533-position model. The record is from RNAcentral. Lineage: Bacteria; Pseudomonadati; Pseudomonadota; Gammaproteobacteria; Enterobacterales; Enterobacteriaceae.